Molecule: ribosomal RNA, 645 nt
Filed under: Pachyserica sp. LW1163
Lineage: Eukaryota; Metazoa; Arthropoda; Insecta; Coleoptera; Scarabaeidae
Also listed under: 2 other names
Description: eukaryotic LSU rRNA
Rfam family: Eukaryotic large subunit ribosomal RNA
Source: RNAcentral
GGACCAAGGAGUCUAGCAUGUGCGCGAGUCAUUGGGAUUUUUACUAAACCUAAAGGCGUAAUGAAAGUGAAGGUCCGCCUUGCGCGGACCGAGGGAGGAUGGACCGUUCCGAGGGACGGCCUCGCACUCCCGGGGCGUCUCGCUCUCAUCGCGAGAAGAGGCGCACCCAGAGCGUACACGCUGGGACCCGAAAGAUGGUGAACUAUGCCUGGUCAGGACGAAGUCAGGGGAAACCCUGAUGGAGGUCCGUAGCGAUUCUGACGUGCAAAUCGAUCGUCGGAACUGGGUAUAGGGGCGAAAGACUAAUCGAACCAUCUAGUAGCUGGUUCCCUCCGAAGUUUCCCUCAGGAUAGCUGGCGCUCGCUUCUCGCGAGUCUCAUUCGGUAAAGCGAAUGAUUAGAGGCAUUGGGGUCGAAACGGCCUCAACCUAUUCUCAAACUUUAAAUGGGUGAGAUCUCCGGCUUGCUUGAACUGUGAAGCCGCGAGAUAUCGGAUCAGAGUGCCAAGUGGGCCACUUUUGGUAAGCAGAACUGGCGCUGUGGGAUGAACCAAACGCCGAGUUAAAGCGCCUAAAUCGACGCUUAUGGGAUACCAUGAAAGGCGUUGGUAACUUAAGACAGCAGGACGGUGGCCAUGGAAGUCGGA